RNAcentral lists this non-coding RNA (28 nucleotides) under Mus musculus (house mouse). The record is from RNAcentral. Lineage: Eukaryota; Metazoa; Chordata; Mammalia; Rodentia; Muridae.
UGUGGCACUUCCCAUAUGAGCUCUAUCG